UNAGANUCUGGCCGUCGUUUUCAUNCACUCUCCCGCGNNAAGUGUGNUGGAUUNCCGCUUCCUACGGGGGGCAGCAGUGGGGAAUAUUGCGCAAUGGGGGGAACCCUGACNCAGCAACGCCGCGUGAGCGAAGAAGGCCUUCGGGUCGUAAAGCUCUGUCAUAAGGGACGAAGUCUCUAUUUAGUAGAGGUGACGGUACCUUAAGAGGAAGCCCCGGCUAACUACGUGCCAGCAGCCGCGGUAACACGUAGGGGGCAAGCGUUGUCCGGAAUUAUUGGGCGUAAAGGGCGUGUAGGCGGUUAAUUAAGUCAGGUGUGAAAACCCGGGGCUCAACCCCGUGAUUGCACCUGAAACUGGUUAACUUGAGGGCAAGAGAGGGAAGCGGAAUUCCUAGUGUAGCGGUGAAAUGCGUAGAUAUUAGGAGGAACACCAGUGGCGAAGGCGGCUUUCUGGCUUGACCCUGACGCUGAGGCGCGAAAGCGUGGGGAGCAAACAGGAUUAGAUACCCUGGUAGUCCACGCCGUAAACUAUGGGUACUAGGUGUAGGAGGUAUCGACCCCUUCUGUGCCGCAGCAAACGCAUUAAGUACCCCGCCUGGGGAAGUACGUUCGCNAGAAUGAAACUCAAAGGAAUNGACGGGGGCCCGCACAAGCGGUGGANCAUGUGGUUUAAUNCGACNCACCCCNAAAAACNUUACCAGGUCUUGACAUCCCUUGACANCCUUANANACANGNUUUUCNUUUUUGGNAAANGAAAAANGGGU
This 763-nucleotide ribosomal RNA is filed under the name uncultured bacterium. RNAcentral describes it as "partial 16S ribosomal RNA". It matches the Rfam family "Bacterial small subunit ribosomal RNA", at positions 284 to 1041 of the family's 1533-position model. The record is from RNAcentral.